Molecule: long non-coding RNA, 2554 nt
Filed under: Bemisia tabaci
Lineage: Eukaryota; Metazoa; Arthropoda; Insecta; Hemiptera; Aleyrodidae
Description: lncRNA ENSSSA1NGG008985
Source: RNAcentral
ACCGAUACGGCUUUCCUUUUAAGUCGAACAAGUUUAAAAAAAAGAAGAAAAAAAAAGAAAAAAAAAAAAAAAUAGUGAAGGCGAUCUUUAGUACGCAUUGCUUGAAAAACAGGGAAUUAUUCAUAAAAACGACACCGUAGACUUCAUGAAUGUUAGAUUCAGCAAGACGUCAAGGAUUUCAGAGGGAAAUAAUUCAAACUAAGUGCUCAAAUCCGCUAAAAAAUUCUCAAUUGACCAUUAUCAUUCAAUAUGGGAGAAAUAUUCGAAAUGUUCACGAGUUUUUGUUUAAUUCAAUUUUUCCUUUCUUUAUUUUUAUCCAUUAGUAAUCUAGCUAUUUUUCAAAAAUUAAAGAAAGGAAAAAAAUAAUUUCAAAAUAUCAUCUCAACUCAGUAAUUUUUAAUUUAAGUUCCCUACAAAGGAAACAUUUUUGAUUUUUGAUUUUGUUUUCCAGUUGACAAGAAAUCAAAGUAUGCAUACAUUUAAAUAAUAACAAAAAAAGAAGAUGAAAUAAUAUCAGAACAAGAAACAAAAGUCAAUUGAAUGUUUCGCUAAAAAAUCAAGUAUAUGUGUCCGUCUUGGUUUGACAUUAAUUUGCCUCCUUUCAUAGGGUAUAAUAGAGAAUGGUUAAUAGCAAAAUAGCGCAGGCUAAAUUGAAAAGCAAUAACGUCGGAUGGGAUUUUUUUUUCUUUUGUAAACAGGUCGUUGUUUUGUAAUGAAAAUCGGAAUACUAAAGAACUCUAUGUGCAUCAUUUCCUUUUGAUUCACGGACCAUUGCCCGGCGCGCGGCACAGCUGGAGCAACCAGUGAACGACCGGGCCCGUCAUGUAUUCGCCGAUCUUCACUCCCGAAAUGACCGGCCAUCUACAAUCGCCCUGAGAAUAUUCGCUCAAUCUAUUUGCGCGCGAAGACGUAGAACUAUUCGGGCCGAAAUAUUGAACCUUGUCGGUCGAAAUUCGACACUUAUUAAGUUCGUUGUUCUUGACUCCCGAUCGGGACACAAUUGGAAGAUAUUCGCGAGUUUCGAACGUGUAACUGACGUUCGGUUAGGAAACUUUUAUCCGAAAUAUGAUCCAGGCGUCACUCGACAUAUUUGUUCGGUAAAGUGCGGUUUAAAGCAUUUCAAAUUCUCGGGGCGUGUUGAAAAAAGUCACGUGGAAGUUUCCAUAAGCCUCGUAUUGGUCACUAUUUUCAAAUGUUCUGAAUAUCUGUAGUUAAAUUCUUCAACCACCUGUGUUGGCCGAGAUUAUUCCGAGAUUGGUGUCGUGAAGUAAAACUUGACUUUCUAUCGAGAUUUUGUGUGACAGUGUUAUUCUAUUUUACUUGUUUAAAAAAAAAUCAUUUAUACCCAUUUAAGAGAUUCCCAUUCCUAAGAAGUGACUGCUACCUUUUACUUACGCCCCUCUUUUCGAUCCAAACGUUGACGGUCAAGAAUCUUUGGAAACAAUAAUUUAGUGUACAAAUUAUGUCCGACAUUAUGAAAUAAUUUCCUAUCAAGUAAUCUGUUGAUAAAGUGACACGCUUGAAUAGGAGGCGGGCGUACUAUUGAACAUAACAUUAUUUCGUGAUGUUCCAAUUAAAUCACUGUUAUUAAAAAAGUAUCAUUCAGUUGAGCGUAUUUUUCAUAUCUAUCCAGAUUAUGAUACCUAAAAAGGCUGCCUUGGCAAUUUUUUCUUCAAAACACUCGUAAAAUACUGAAUAAUCAAAUCCCAACACAUUUAUUGGUUUAAGUACUCCGUACGGAAGAGAGAGGGUUUGUAGCUUUGAUUAAAUUGUAAAGUGCAGUGAGUAACAGGGUUUUAAUCAUAGACUGCUUCAGACGAGGAUCGCGAUCAUUUCACGAAAGAGUGCGCUGCAGGUGUAAGGGUUCUGAAAAUGCCGCGGAUCAAAUUCCAGCACUACAAGUCGUUGGCUCUCCAUGGAUGUGCCAUUGGCGGAGAGUGAUUCCGGUCCAGCGUAUUUCCGUGGAAAACUGGACGGAAAUGCCGUCAUCCGGUGUUGACAAACCGUUGCCCCACUUCGGAGAUUGGCGAGUUCCUGGAUGCUGCGGACCCCUGACCGAGUAAUAUGCGUUUGAACCCAUUCCAGAAGAACAUAAUAAUGUAAGUAUUCGAUUUCCUCUCUAUUGACUGACAAUAUUUGAAUCGCAUUUAGCAAAAAGGAACCAGCGUGAAUCGUGAUUAUAGUGUUUUCAAAAUCGUACAAAUGGGUCAGUUGCACUGGUAACAGAAUCGUGUUUUGAUGCUUGAUUCUUGUAGAUUAGCUAAAAAUAAAAAGACCUGUUCAAACAGCAACUUUCUACGUUGAAUAUUAACCGAGGUAUUGUCCUUUGAAAAUUCGGGGUUUUGACGUCAUCCACCGCGGCAGUGCGUAUCGUGGUAUGUACUACCGCGGUGGAUGACGUCAUAGGUCGAGUUUUUCAAACCGCGCGAUAUCUUGGUUAAUAUUUAACGUAGAGAGUUGCUGUUUGGACAGAUCUUAUUAUUUUUAGUUGAUCUGCAAGAAUAAAGCACCAAAACACGAUUUUGACGUGACCAACGCAACUUACCCAGUCUUC